UACAAUGGAGAGUUUGAUCCUGGCUCAGGAUGAACGCUAGCGGCAGGCCUAACACAUGCAAGUCGAGGGGCAUCGGGAUUGAAGCUUGCUUCAAUUGCCGGCGACCGGCGCACGGGUGCGUAACGCGUAUGUAACCUACCUAUAACAGGGGCAUAACACUGAGAAAUUGGUACUAAUUCCCCAUAAUAUUCGGAGAGGCAUCUCUCCGGGUUGAAAACUCCGGUGGUUAUAGAUGGACAUGCGUUGUAUUAGCUAGUUGGUGAGGUAACGGCUCACCAAGGCAACGAUACAUAGGGGGACUGAGAGGUUAACCCCCCACACUGGUACUGAGACACGGACCAGACUCCUACGGGAGGCAGCAGUGAGGAAUAUUGGUCAAUGGACGCAAGUCUGAACCAGCCAUGCCGCGUGCAGGAAGACGGCUCUAUGAGUUGUAAACUGCUUUUGUACGAGGGUAAACUC
Molecule: ribosomal RNA, 462 nt
Filed under: Escherichia coli
Lineage: Bacteria; Pseudomonadati; Pseudomonadota; Gammaproteobacteria; Enterobacterales; Enterobacteriaceae
Description: bacterial SSU rRNA
Rfam family: Bacterial small subunit ribosomal RNA
Source: RNAcentral